RNAcentral lists this ribosomal RNA (699 nucleotides) under Microbacterium imperiale. RNAcentral describes it as "bacterial SSU rRNA". It matches the Rfam family "Bacterial small subunit ribosomal RNA", at positions 56 to 773 of the family's 1533-position model. Lineage: Bacteria; Bacillati; Actinomycetota; Actinomycetes; Micrococcales; Microbacteriaceae. The record is from RNAcentral.
UGCAGUCGACGGUGAGCAGAGCUUGCUCUGUGGAUCAGUGGCGAACGGGUGAGUAACACGUGAGCAAUCUGCCCCUGACUCUGGGAUAAGCGCUGGAAACGGCGUCUAAUACCGGAUACGAGCUGCGAUCGCAUGGUCAGUAGCUGGAAAGAAUUUCGGUCAGGGAUGAGCUCGCGGCCUAUCAGCUUGUUGGUGAGGUAAUGGCUCACCAAGGCGUCGACGGGUAGCCGGCCUGAGAGGGUGACCGGCCACACUGGGACUGAGACACGGCCCAGACUCCUACGGGAGGCAGCAGUGGGGAAUAUUGCACAAUGGGCGGAAGCCUGAUGCAGCAACGCCGCGUGAGGGAUGACGGCCUUCGGGUUGUAAACCUCUUUUAGCAGGGAAGAAGCGAAAGUGACGGUACCUGCAGAAAAAGCGCCGGCUAACUACGUGCCAGCAGCCGCGGUAAUACGUAGGGCGCAAGCGUUAUCCGGAAUUAUUGGGCGUAAAGAGCUCGUAGGCGGUCUGUCGCGUCUGCUGUGAAAACCCGAGGCUCAACCUCGGGCCUGCAGUGGGUACGGGCAGACUAGAGUGCGGUAGGGGAGAUUGAAUUCCUGGUGUAGCGGUGGAAUGCGCAGAUAUCAGAGGAACACCGAUGGCGAAGGCACAUCUCUGGGCCGUAACUGACGCUGAGAGCGAAAGGGUUGGGGAGCAAAC